Nerophis ophidion (straightnose pipefish) is the source of this 2680-nucleotide RNA transcript. It is a transcript of the gene named charged multivesicular body protein 7, with no coding region annotated. Lineage: Eukaryota; Metazoa; Chordata; Actinopteri; Syngnathiformes; Syngnathidae. The transcript is spliced from 11 exons. The record is from RefSeq and is a predicted model, not a curated record.
GUCUCUUUGCUGGUGGGAAGGACUUACUUAGCCAUUGGGGGCACUUAGCUCCGCCAUCAUCGGUGUGUGCGAGAUUAGUGUUGCAAUACCAUCUCCAGCACAAGUCAACAAACGACGUAAAGCAAUUGUCGUCGUUGCCUCGUUAGAUCGGACUUUUACGUCCCAACAACGCCGACUCAACUCCAGGACAGACAGUGUGUGGACUUGUUGUCCCCGUGUGUGGACUUCUUGUCCCCGUGAUUGGACUUCUUGUCCCCGUGUGUGGACUUGUUGUCCCCGUGUGUGGACUUGUUGUCCCCGUGUGUGGACUUGUUGUCCCCGUGUGUGGACUUGUUGUCCCCGUGUGUGGACUUCUUGUCCCCGUGUGUGGACUUGUUGUCCCCGUGUGUGGACUUCUUGUCCCCGUGUGUGGAGUUCUGGUCCCCGUGUGUGGACUUGUUGUCCCCGUGUGUGGACUUCUUGUCCCCGUGUGUGGAGUUCUGGUCCCCGUGUGUGGACUUGUUGUCCCCGUGUGUGGACUUCUUGUCCCCGUGUGUGGACUUCUUGUCCCCGUGUGUGGAGUUCUGGUCCCCGGUUCCACUCCGAGCGGCUUUUAGGUGCAGCUCCAGUUCCCCAAGACGCCACUGGAACAACAAACAAACAAACAAGAAAACAAAGCAGUUUUCAAGUCACCUGGAUAAGAGACACGGGCUUCAAACAUGUCGAGUUCCACCCGAGUCAAGCUGCCACCCGAGUGGAAGGACGACGAGCGGAUGAAUUUUCUCUUCUCGGACUUUAAGGAGAGGCGCGACGUCAACACAACAGACUGGGACAGCAAGAUGGACUUCUGGACGGCGAUGGUCCUACAAAGCUGCAGAGACCGCACUCGUGUGUCCCUCAGUCUGCAAGACCUCAAUAAGAUCUUCCGGAGGAAGGAGAGGACACCCAUGGCGUUGGCAACUGUCAUCCAGUCCUUGUCCAGAUGUGGGAAGCUGCAGAGAGAGUCGGAGUUUGCUGCCAAUGUGGAUUGUGGCUGGUUGUCUUGGAGCGUUGGCCUUCUGCUGGUGAAGCCUCUGAAAUGGACCUUCUCCUCUCUGCUGGGAAGCAACUCCGUGCCUUUGGAGGAGUCUUUUGUUGUCCUUGAACUCGUGAAGGAGAAAGCCGCUGAAGUCCUGGAUAUCUACCGGAGCAGUGAAUAUGCCAGCCGCUCUAUCUUGUCCUUUCAAGAGCUGUGUACUCUCACCUCCAGCGUGUGUGCUGAUGACAGCACUCUGUGCUUGGCUCUGCUGCAGCUGCAGAGGGACAACCAAGUCCUGGUCUCCUUACACCAGGGGGAUAAGAUUGUUAAGUUUUGCCAACCAGGACAAGGUCGUGUCUCCACAGUCAACGAUUUAGAGACGGGCGUCUACCAGUUGCAGCGUAGUGAAAAACUGCUGGAGGAGAGGCUGGACAAACUGAGCCUGGAGGCUGAUAAGUCCAAAGAGGAAGCAAGACUUCUGCUCCAGGAAGGAAAGAAAGCACAGGCUUUGAGGUGUUUGCGAGGGCGGAAGAGAGGAGAAAAGAGAGCGGAUGUCUUGUUUGGCCAGCUGGAGUCCAUCCGAGCAAUCCUGGACAGAAUAGCUCAGUCCCAGACUGAUGAAAAGGUUCUGCAGGCCUACCAAGCAGGAGUUGCCAGCCUUAGCUUCUCUCUCAAGGACGUGACGGUCCAACGUGCCGAAAGCCUCGUCGAUCAAAUCCAGGAGUUGUGUGACAAACAAGAUGAUGUCAACCAAACCAUUUCUGGAGCAGUGACCUGUGCAGAUGAUGACAUGGAUGAGUUGGAGGAAGAGCUGAAAUUGUUAUUGCACGAACCCAAGCCGCACCCCGAAGUUCCAACAGAGCACCUGCCGAACGUCCCAGGUGACGACCUGCUGGAUUUUCUGCCCGCCGUCCCUCAAAGUGACCUGAAUGUCAGCACCAAGCAGCUGGAGGAAGAACUCAAACUGCUCACUCUCUAAGAUUCAGGGAUCCAGCACCUGGACAGCAGUUGGAACAUGGUUUGCAUGGACACCUGCAUGUCGACUUGAAGCUGCUGCGAUGAGAUGGCGACUUGUCCAGGGUGUACCCCGCCUUCCGCCCGAUUGUAGCUGAGAAGAAAAUGAAAGUUAAGGCAUUUGGUUGCUUUAGAGAAUGUUCAUUAGAUCCCUGCUUUACUUGUGGUUAAGCAUUUAUUUUCUUUGCUCAAAAUUGUACAUUUUCUUUCAUUUUUUUAAAUUUUGACUUCAAUGGAAAGCAGUGUGAUGGUGCCAUCUACAGCUGCAAAUAUUUGUGUUGUCCCACAAGUAAAUGUACUCAACAUUUUCCAUCAAGAAGAUGCUUUAACAAGAUGUGAUGUUGUGCAAGUACAAUACUGAAUACAAUAUGCCUGUGCAGUGCAAACUCCAUUCACCAACCCCGCUUAUUGUGCAAACUUUUCUAUUGACGGAAGACAAAUUGCUUUGGUGCACGAACCUUGUCCCAGUGUGCAAACAUUUCAGCCAACUAUUUUGUUCCCGACAGCAUAGCGAUUGUUGGCGGGCUAUGUCAUCUCUGCACGCACUCAUUUAGUAGAGCAGUGCUGUCGUUAGCUCUGUGUUAGGUGCAAACUUGUGUGCUUUUUUUUUUUAAUGUUUCUAUAGUUGUGGUAGCUCAUCUGAAUCCAAAUAAAGCAAUGGACAAGCAA